AAAGUCGUAACAAGGUUUCCGUAGGUGAACCUGCGGAAGGAUCAUUACCUUCAGAGUAGCUUGAGUGUUUCCCCCCUCCAGGUCUCGUGCCGGAGCCCCGAUCGAUUGUCCCCGCCCACCCUCCGGGGACCGGCUUCUGCGUGCAGAGCAUCGAGGGAUGAUUGACGGGGAGGGAGACCUCUAAACCUCAUCCCUGUGACCGUACCUCGCGUACUUGCAAGAAAUCGCCCCUGAUGGGUCGCGAUCGUCAGUAAAUCAUCACACCCGAGUAAUUGGAACAGUCUGAGUCAAAGACACAGUUAAAACUUUCAACAACGGAUCUCUUGGUUCCG
This 332-nucleotide unclassified non-coding RNA is filed under the name Ascomycota sp. RNAcentral describes it as "partial contains small subunit ribosomal RNA, internal transcribed spacer 1, and 5.8S ribosomal RNA". The stretch from base 1 to 47 matches the Rfam family "Eukaryotic small subunit ribosomal RNA", at positions 1785 to 1831 of the family's 1831-position model. The record is from RNAcentral. Lineage: Eukaryota; Fungi; Ascomycota.